GAUGAACGCUGGCGGCGUGCCUAAUACAUGCAAGUCGAGCGAACAGAUGAGGAGCUUGCUCUUCUGACGUUAGCGGCGGACGGGUGAGUAACACGGGGAUAACCUACCUAUAAGUCUGGGAUAACUUCGGGAAACCGGAGCUAAUACCGGAUAAUAUAUUGAACCGCAUUGUUCAAUAGUGAAAGACGGUUUUGCUGUCACUUAUAGCUGGAUCCGCGCCGCAUUAGCUAGUUGGUAAGGUAACGGCUUACCAAGGCAACGAUGCGUAGCCGACCUGAGAGGGUGAUCGGCAACACUGGAACUGAGACACGGUCCAGACUCCUACGGGAGGCAGCAGUAGGGAAUCUUCCGCAAUGGGCGAAAGCCUGACGGAGCAACGCCGCGUGAGUGAUGAAGGUCUUCGGAUCGUAAAACUCUGUUAUUAGGGAAGAACAAAUGUGUAAGUAACUAUGCACGUCUUGACGGUACCUAAUCAGAAAGCCACGGCUAACUACGUG
RNAcentral lists this ribosomal RNA (497 nucleotides) under uncultured bacterium. RNAcentral's name for it is "partial 16S ribosomal RNA". It matches the Rfam family "Bacterial small subunit ribosomal RNA", at positions 28 to 507 of the family's 1533-position model. The record is from RNAcentral.